Molecule: unclassified non-coding RNA, 333 nt
Filed under: soil metagenome
Description: partial contains 5.8S ribosomal RNA, internal transcribed spacer 2, and large subunit ribosomal RNA
Rfam family: 5.8S ribosomal RNA (bases 1-120)
Source: RNAcentral
GAUGAAGAACGUAGCGAAAUGCGAUAAGUAAUGUGAAUUGCAGAAUUCAGUGAAUCAUCGAAUCUUUGAACGCACAUUGCGCCCGCCAGUAUUCUGGCGGGCAUGCCUGUUCGAGCGUCAUUUCAACCAUCAAGCCCCGGGCUUGUGUUGGGGACCUGCGGCUGCCGCAGGCCCUGAAAUGCAGUGGCGGGCUCGCUGUCACUCCGAGCGUAGUAGUUACAUCUCGCUCUGGGCGUGCUGCGGGUUCCGGCCGUUAAAAGCCUUAUUUACCCAAGGUUGACCUCGGAUCAGGUAGGAAGACCCGCUGAACUUAAGCAUAUAAUAAGCGGAGGA